This 431-nucleotide unclassified non-coding RNA is filed under the name Hevea brasiliensis (rubber tree). The record is from RNAcentral. Lineage: Eukaryota; Viridiplantae; Streptophyta; Magnoliopsida; Malpighiales; Euphorbiaceae.
GGGGCUUACUCACUUAAGUUCAAAAUGACACCUGAGGCAGAGAGGCUUUACUUGGAAGAAAUGAAGAUUAGGAAUGAAAUGGAGGAUUUGUUGGUUAUCAAGUUGAGGAAACUAUUGAUGAUGUCUUUGGACAAACGGAUUCUGUUGGAGAAGAUUGCACAUUUGAAGACUGACUUAGGGCUUCCGUUGGAAUUUCAGGAUACAAUCUGCAGGCGAUAUCCACAAUACUUCAAGGUAGUUCCAACUGGACGAGGGCCGGCUCUGGAGUUAACUCACUGGGACCCUGAGCUUGCUGUGUCUGCUGCGCAGAUUGCAGAAGAGGAAAAUAGGCAAAGAGAGUUGGAAGAGAAGGAUUUGAUCAUUGAUAGACCACCAAGGUUCAAUAGGGUGAAGUUGCCUAAGGGUCUGAAGCUUUCAAAGGGUGAAAUGAG